UUUUAAUUAAAAUAUUAAAAUUUUAAUUUUAAACUAAUUUUAAUAUUUUUAUUUAAUAUAUUUAAUUAUUAUAUUUAAAAAAAAAAUUAUUUAUUCAACUGCGCCUUCAUUACAAUGCCAAAUAGAUGAAUUCUUUAGUCUUUAGUGGCCUUACCUUAGGGAAAUGGAAAGAUCUUGCGUGUGGUUGGUUUGCACCUUUUAAGUUUUAUCCGAUGUAUAGCGUAAUAGGGUUACACGCUACGUCCAAUUCGCCUUUGGGUCCCAUUGACAUGUGUCGUG
This 279-nucleotide unclassified non-coding RNA is filed under the name Hevea brasiliensis (rubber tree). Lineage: Eukaryota; Viridiplantae; Streptophyta; Magnoliopsida; Malpighiales; Euphorbiaceae. The record is from RNAcentral.